UACAGAGGUCUCAAGCGUUGUUCGGAUUCAUUGGGCGUAAAGGGUGUGUAGGUGGCGCCGUAAGUCGGGUGUGAAAGUCCAGGGCUCAACCCUGGGAUGCCGGUCGAUACUGCCGGACUAGAGUUCGGAAGAGGCGAGUGGAAUUCCCGGUGUAGCGGUGAAAUGCGCAGAUAUCGGGAGGAACACCUAUGGCGAAGGCAGCUCGCUGGGACGUUACUGACGCUGAGACGCGAAAGCGUGGGGAGCAAACAGG
RNAcentral lists this ribosomal RNA (253 nucleotides) under uncultured bacterium. RNAcentral's name for it is "partial 16S ribosomal RNA". It matches the Rfam family "Bacterial small subunit ribosomal RNA", at positions 524 to 776 of the family's 1533-position model. The record is from RNAcentral.